Drosophila pseudoobscura is the source of this 988-nucleotide long non-coding RNA. RefSeq lists it as uncharacterized. The transcript has 2 exons. NCBI's taxonomy places the organism in Eukaryota, Metazoa, Arthropoda, Insecta, Diptera, Drosophilidae. The record is from RefSeq and is a predicted model, not a curated record.
CUUUUAUUGAAUAUAUUUGUUUUAUUUUCAAGUUAAUUCCCUGGAUGUUGCGUUGGGAUGUCUUCUGGCUGCUUGCUUAGUUGCUGACAUAUGUACAUUUGUUAUGUAAUUACAGUUAAUUUCAUACACCAUAUGUGUUUUGUUUAUUUAAAUUUUUAUGUUUAUGUUUUAAAUUUUGUUUUGUUUUCAGGUUUGCUGCAGAUUUGGUAAGCGUUUUGAGUUGUAUUUUGGAUAAAUUUAAUUUUAUUUUAUUUGCAGGUUUUCAUUUUGUAGGUUUGGUGGCAAAUUGUCGGCAUUCCAGUUAAGUGAUUUUUUGUUUUUAUAUUUGUUGGCUUUUAAUGAAUAUAGUUAUUUUAUUUUCAAGUUGAUUCACUGGAUGUUGCGUUGGGAUGACUUCUGGCUGCUUACUUAGUUGCUGACAUACAUAUGUAAAUUUAUUAUGUACAUACAGCUAAUUUCGUACACCAAUAUGUGUUUUAUUUAUUUAAUUGGCAGGUUUUGUCUUCAGCUUUGUAAUAAUUUGUAUGUAAUUUUGUGUAGCUUAUGUUGUUAUAUUUGUUGGCUCUUUUUUUUUUUUAGGACUUUGGUUGUUUUAGUUUCAGGUUUGCGGCAGAUUUGGUAAGUGUUUUAAAUUGUAUUUUGGCUGAAUUUAAUUUUGUUUUAUUUACAGGUUUGGUAAUAGAGUGUCAUCAAUCAAGUUAGGUAAUUUAUGUUGUUAUAUUUGUUGACUUUUAAUGAGUAUAGUGUUUUAUUUUCAGGUUUAAAGAAAAUUGGUGUGAAAAAGAAAAAGUGAUUUCAAUUGUUUUUACGCCAAUUGUAAUUUUAUUUUAUCUGCAGUUUUAUUUUUUGCUGGUUUGGUGGUAAGGUGUCACAUACAAUGGCUGUUGCGCUUGUUGUCUACAACUUGUUUGCGUAUUUACUGACAUUGAUUGUUAUGUAAAUAGUUAUUUUGUACGUAUGUAUGUAUGUAUGUAUGUAUGAUAGAUUU